Molecule: ribosomal RNA, 546 nt
Filed under: Salmonella enterica
Lineage: Bacteria; Pseudomonadati; Pseudomonadota; Gammaproteobacteria; Enterobacterales; Enterobacteriaceae
Also listed under: 1 other name
Description: bacterial LSU rRNA
Rfam family: Bacterial large subunit ribosomal RNA
Source: RNAcentral
GCUUAUGCGUUGUUGGGUAGGGGAGCGUUCUGUAAGCCUGCGAAGGUGGCCUGUGAGGGUUGCUGGAGGUAUCAGAAGUGCGAAUGCUGACAUAAGUAACGAUAAAGCGGGUGAAAAGCCCGCUCGCCGGAAGACCAAGGGUUCCUGUCCAACGUUAAUCGGGGCAGGGUGAGUCGACCCCUAAGGCGAGGCCGAAAGGCGUAGUCGAUGGGAAACGGGUUAAUAUUCCCGUACUUGGUGUUACUGCGAAGGGGGGACGGAGAAGGCUAUGUUGGCCGGGCGACGGUUGUCCCGGUUUAAGCGUGUAGGUGUGUGUUCCAGGUAAAUCCGGUUCACUUUAACACUGAGGCGUGACGACGAGGCACUACGGUGCUGAAGCAACAAAUGCCCUGCUUCCAGGAAAAGCCUCUAAGCAUCAGGUAACAUCAAAUCGUACCCCAAACCGACACAGGUGGUCAGGUAGAGAAUACCAAGGCGCUUGAGAGAACUCGGGUGAAGGAACUAGGCAAAAUGGUGCCGUAACUUCGGGAGAAGGCACGCUGACAC